This is a long non-coding RNA of Oncorhynchus tshawytscha (Chinook salmon), 2191 nucleotides long. Lineage: Eukaryota; Metazoa; Chordata; Actinopteri; Salmoniformes; Salmonidae. The record is from Ensembl.
UCCAAACAGAGACAGUGAAGAGGGGAGGGAGAGUGGGUCUGAAGGGGAGUUCCAAAAGACAUACGACGUACAGAGGAGGGAGAGUGGAUCAGAAAGCAAUGUCUUUGAGAAAGACGAGGAAGGGGACGAAGUGAGCAGGUUUGAGGAGGAGGAAGAGGAGAAGAGAGAGAGUAGGUCCAAGGAGGAAGAUCCCGAGAGAGAAAUCCCAGGUUCCCCAGAGAGAGACAACAGGGCUAAGGAGGAGGAAAAGGAUGUUGCAAAGAAAGAGGUUGAGGAGUUAAUCCCCCCAGAAAAAGAGAUGGAAGAAGAGCCAGAACUUGGGGACGAAGCCCAGCCAGCGAUCCAGUCAAACCUCUCCUCUCCCAUUCUUGGUGCCCCAGAAGAACCUGAAGCCCAGGAUAUCCUGGCCAUUUCAAUAGAAACCAAGUUAGAGUCUGAAACAGAGGACACCCCUAUUGUCGUUUCGCCUGAGAUGGAGCCUGCCCAAGACGUGAUGUUAGCAGAGAAGGAGAGCCAGAUCCAUCUCGAACAAAACAAUGAGGCUUCUCCACAGGAGGAACCCAAGGGCCCUGGUGAUCCAGAAAAAUUGGCAGAGGCCAGCAAACAGACCAGGCCUCAGAAAAUGAGCCGAAUCCCGGUUCUCUCUCGGUCUGAGGAGGACACCAGCUCGGACCAGGACCAGUCGGCGGCGUCCCAGUCAUUCAAGUCUCGUCAGAGGGCCAAGCGACCUCACCUAGCCCGGAUGGUCAUGGAAAGGAGGCAAGGUCGCAUGCUAAGACUGGCUUCUGUUUCCUCUGCGUCCUCUGCGGAUGAUGGCUGUAAAGUUCCAGCAGAGAUCCAGUCAGAGGAAGACACCCAUGAUGAGGACAACUAUCUGCCCAGGAAGGAGAGGGGAAUUUGGGGGGAGAGGAGUGAGGGGCGUCAAAGGAGCAGAAUACCCCGUCCUGUCACGGCUGUUAAGCUACAGGGAUCCUCUGUUACACCAUUUCAUGCUGUCUCCCAAACUGGCCCCAGUGCUAAUCUCCCCAAACCCCAACUUUCAACUAUAUAUGCUAGGCAUCAAUCUCACAAAACUAGGACCCCAAGAAUAAAUGUUCCACUGCACCAGAGGUCCCAGACUCUGCAGUCCCGACCCGGACCCGGGACCAACUCCUCCUUCUUAUUCUCCACCCCCCAGACCCCCCUGCGUGGGGUCAUCUCCCGAACCCCUCUCUCUGCAUGCCCCUCCCCCCGUAGCCUCAGCACCUCCCCAUGUUGCUACUCCACUUCCCGGACCGACAGCCCCUCCCCUCAGCGCCCACGCCGGGGGGCUGCAGUUACAGAAGUCCGGAGGCAGCUCAUAUCCGUGCGGGCGCAGACUGCACUUCCGCUAAAACCCAGACCGCCUCAAACCGAUGAUUCCUCAGCCCCUGGGACGCCCAGGAGGCGAGGCAAACUUUACCCGUUGUCAUCUACAUCCACACCCACCAAGGGGAAGUCAGAUGCUUCUGAGAGCAAGACAACCACCAGAUAAUAUAGCCUAGCUUAGUGUAUCAGGGCUAUCUAUCCACCAGACCAUCCACACUGCACUUCACACACCCCUUUAUCUACUGUAUGUCAGAGUAACUCCACGACCUCAAACGUGUUUGUGCAAAAACACUGUUUCAACUCUCAGCUUAAGAUAACAAAGAGGGGUCUGCUUCUAAUCACAGUUAAGGCCAAGAACAAAACCAGUAAUAGAGAGCACCAGACAGCAGUGAGUCCCCCAAUGCCACAGACUAGGGAAGUGGGUGUGACCCCCAAUGCCACAGACUAGGGAAGUGGGUGAGACACCCAAAGCCACAGACUAGGGAAGUGGGUGAGACCCCCAAUGCCACAGACUAGGGAAGUGGGUGAGACACCCAAUGCCACAGACUAGGGAAGUGGGUGAGACACCCAAUGCCACAGACUAGGGAAGUGGGUGAGACUCCCAAUGCCACAGACUAGGGAAGUGGGUGUGACCAUGGGUGUGACCCCCGAAUGCCACAGACUAGGGAAGUGGGUGAGACUCCCAAUGCCACAGACUAGGGAAGUGGGUGUGACCCCUCAAUGCCACAUACUAGGGAAGUGGGCGAGCCCCCAAUGCCACAGACUAGGGAAGUGGGUGUGACCAUGGUUGUGACCCCCAAUGCCACAGACUAGGGAAGUGGGUGAGACACCCAAUGCCACAGAC